AUUGAACGCUGGCGGCAGGCCUAACACAUGCAAGUCGAGCGGAUGAAGGGAGCUUGCUCCUGGAUUCAGCGGCGGACGGGUGAGUAAUGCCUAGGAAUCUGCCUGGUAGUGGGGGAUAACGUCCGGAAACGGGCGCUAAUACCGCAUACGUCCUGAGGGAGAAAGUGGGGGAUCUUCGGACCUCACGCUAUCAGAUGAGCCUAGGUCGGAUUAGCUAGUUGGUGGGGUAAAGGCCUACCAAGGCGACGAUCCGUAACUGGUCUGAGAGGAUGAUCAGUCACACUGGAACGGAGACACGGUCAAGACUCCUACGGGAGGCAGCAGUGGGGAAUAUUGGACAAUGGGCGAAAGCCUGAUCCAGCCAUGCCGCGUGUGUGAAGAAGGUCUUCGGAUUGUAAAGCACUUUAAGUUGGGAGGAAGGGCAGUAAGUUAAUACCUUGCUGUUUUGACGUUACCAACAGAAUAAGCACCGGCUAACUUCGUG
RNAcentral lists this ribosomal RNA (484 nucleotides) under uncultured bacterium. RNAcentral's name for it is "partial 16S ribosomal RNA". It matches the Rfam family "Bacterial small subunit ribosomal RNA", at positions 30 to 507 of the family's 1533-position model. The record is from RNAcentral.